AACGCUAGCUACAGGCUUAACACAUGCAAGUCGAGGGGUAACGAGAGGAAAGCUUGCUUUCCUUGUCGACGACCGGCGCACGGGUGAGUAACGCGUAUCCAACCUGCCCACCACUUGGGGAUAACCUUGCGAAAGUAAGACUAAUACCCAAUGAUAUCCCACGAAGGCAUCCGAAUGGGAUUAAAGAUUUAUCGGUGAUGGAUGGGGAUGCGUCUGAUUAGCUUGUUGGCGGGGUAAUGGCCCACCAAGGCGACGAUCAGUAGGGGUUCUGAGAGGAAGGUCCCCCACAUUGGAACUGAGACACGGUCCAAACUCCUACGGGAGGCAGCAGUGAGGAAUAUUGGUCAAUGGACGAGAGUCUGAACCAGCCAAGUAGCGUGCAGGAUGACGGCCCUAUGGGUUGUAAACUGCUUUUAUAAGGGAAUAAAGUGAGAGUCGUGACUCUUUUUGCAUGUACCUUAUGAAUAAGGACCGGCUAAUUCCGUGCCAGCAGCCGCGGUAAUACGGAAGGUCCGGGCGUUAUCCGGAUUUAUUGGGUUUAAAGGGAGCGUAGGCCGGAGAUUAAGCGUGUUGUGAAAUGUAGAUGCUCAACAUCUGCACUGCAGCGCGAACUGGUUUCCUUGAGUACGCACAAAGUGGGCGGAAUUCGUGGUGUAGCGGUGAAAUGCUUAGAUAUCACGAAGAACUCCGAUUG
Molecule: ribosomal RNA, 694 nt
Filed under: uncultured bacterium
Lineage: Bacteria
Description: bacterial SSU rRNA
Rfam family: Bacterial small subunit ribosomal RNA
Source: RNAcentral